This is a long non-coding RNA of Tyto alba (common barn owl), 1319 nucleotides long. RefSeq lists it as uncharacterized. The transcript is spliced from 3 exons. The record is from RefSeq and is a predicted model, not a curated record. Lineage: Eukaryota; Metazoa; Chordata; Aves; Strigiformes; Tytonidae.
AGUCACAGGUAACACUUAUGAGGAAAUAAAAUAAAGGAAGCUCAAGUGGAUAAGAAGAAAAUCCCUAGGGUCACACACUGCCAGCGCUGGAGAGAGACGCCGGUGCCCUCGAGAAGGCUGGAGCAACCGCAGCCCUGCAGACACGGCCGCCUCCUCUCUCGCACGCGGGCACGGAGGCUCCCUGGGCUGCAGGGGCUCUGGUAGCUGUCACUGACAGAAGCCAUGGAUGUGCAGCUACAUCUGACAGCAGUCAUCUUCUCACCCCAGCUGAGACAGAAGUGUACCCCACAGGAGGUUAGAGAUGAAGGUCACUUGAUGCAUUGAACUAUCAUCGAGGGAUUUUGGAGCUUGGAGAGACAAUUGCACCGUUAUGAAUAUCAGCUUUGAUUCUUCCCAAUUAUACUAAGAAGCCCUAAGGGAUCCUUAAAGAAACAAAACUUGCCAAAUUUGUAGGGGACUCUAUCAUUCAGAGGCCCUGACAGGAGCCAGCUGAAUCCAGCCGUCAUAUAUGAUCCAGGAUCAAUCAGCCAGAACUCAUCCAGAGAACGAAGCAAGCCCCUAGAAAACUCCUACAAAGCAGAAAUUGCCAACAAACCAUCUUCUCUUUCAGCUCUUCAGCUCAUCAAUAUUUCCAAGGCUUUAAGAGUUAUCCCACUUUAAUAAAAAUGCAAAGUUAUUAAUAGAAAUUUCCAUGUGGAAAUUCUUUGUACUGAUUCAAUUUCUUAAGCCAAUAGCUUUAAUAGAGUCUUAAGGAGAGCAGGUAUAGCUUGAUCAAUCUAGGUCUUGUAUUUUUCAGAACAGAAAUGAUGCGAAGUGUAGAAAAACAUUUUUUUCUUCGGAGAAUCUGUUCCUGUGGCCAGACCCAGGCAGUGCAAGUGUGACUGCAUUUAUGCAGGUAGUUGCUGAUGUCAAAACCCACUAGUGUCCUCAAGGUGGAUCUUAAAGCAGAAUGUACUUGUACCACUAUCCACUGGCUGUUGACAGCUCUGUGGUGUCAUGCUGUUGUAACAAUGGAUGAAGAAAAAUACUCAGUACUGAUCUGCAGUGAAAUGGUUAUUUUUUGUGAGUUUGACUACAUAUUUGUCAUGUGGCAAUUUGACUGGAAAUUAAUAGGAUUACUUUUCACUGGCUGAGGUUAAUGGCAUUACCUGCUUGGCUUUUAUAAAAUUUCCAUAAUUUAGUAAUAUUUAUCUAAGUCACCGUAAAAGUAUAGAAAUUGAUAGUAAAAUCAUGGACAGCUGGGUAGAGGAUGAAAUGAAAUAAAGUAAACCAAACCCACGCUCUUAUGAAAACACAAAUGCCAAAUUAAGUUUCUUAGG